AUGAUGGACUAUAGGACAGGACUGCUGCUUUUAACUCUCUGCUGGGCAGGUGUUGAUUGUCAGACUCUGACAGAAUCAGAGCCGGUGGUUAAAAGACCUGGAGAAUCCCACAGAUUGACCUGUACAGCCUCUGGAUUAACAAUCAGCGGCUACUGGAUGGCCUGGGUCAGACAGGCUCCUGGAAAAGGACUGGAGUGGGUUGCGAGUAUCUACAGUAGCUACAUCUACUACUCUCAGUCAGUUCAAGGCCGGUUUACCAUCUCCAGAGACGACAGCAGAGAGCAGCUGUAUCUGCAGAUGAACAGUCUGAAGACUGAAGAUUCUGCUGUUUAUUAUUGUGCUCGAGACCCACAGUGA
Molecule: non-coding RNA, 357 nt
Organism: Perca fluviatilis (European perch)
Lineage: Eukaryota; Metazoa; Chordata; Actinopteri; Perciformes; Percidae
Source: the annotation of a RefSeq genome assembly